AAAGGGAGCGUAGGCGGAAUGGUAAGUCAGCCGUUAAAUAGCGGGCUCAMCCCCGUAGUGCGGUUGAAACUGCCGUUCUUGAGUGCACGAGAGGUAGGUGGAAUUCGUGGUGUAGCGGUGAAAUGCUUAGAUAUCACGAAGAACUCCGAUUGCGAAGGCAGCCAACAAGGCCUUUACUGACGCUAAAGCUCGAAGGUGCGGGUAUCGAACAGGAUUAGAUACCCUGGUAGUCCGCACGGUAAACGAUGGAUGCCCGCUGUUUGCGAUAUACUGUGAGCGGCCAAGAGAAAUCGUUAAGCAUCCCACCUGGGGAGUACGCCGGCAACGGUGAAACUCAAAGGAAUUGACGGGGGCCCGCACAAGCGGAGGAACAUGUGGUUUAAUUCGAUGAUACGCGAGGAACCUUACCCGGGCUUGAACUGCCAGCGAACGAUUCAGAGAUGAUGAGGCUUCGGGGCGCUGGUGGAGGUGCUGCAUGGUUGUCGUCAGCUCGUGCCGUGAGGUGUCGGCUUAAGUGCCAUAACGAGCGCAACCCUUUUCAUUAGUUGCCAUCAGGUGAUGCUGGGCACUCUGGUGAUACUGCCACCGUAAGGUGUGAGGAAGGUGGGGAUGACGUCAAAUCAGCACGGCCCUUACGUCCGGGGCUACACACGUGUUACAAUGGGAGGUACAGAGAGUCGGUGCAUGGCAAUAUGCAUCUAAUCCUUAAAGCCUUCCUCAGUUCGGAUUGGGGUCUGCAACCCGACCCCAUGAAGCUGGAUUCGCUAGUAAUCGCGCAUCAGCCAUGGCGCGGUGAAUACGUUCCCGGGCCUUGUACACACCGCCCGUCAAGCCAUGAAAGCCGGGGGCCCUUGAAGUCCGUGACCGCAAGGAUCGGCCUAGAGCGAAACUGGUAAUUGGGGCUAAGUCGUAACAAGGUAACCCUGCACAC
This 931-nucleotide ribosomal RNA is filed under the name uncultured bacterium. Its description in RNAcentral is "bacterial SSU rRNA". It matches the Rfam family "Bacterial small subunit ribosomal RNA", at positions 562 to 1509 of the family's 1533-position model. The record is from RNAcentral.